GAAAAAUUUUUCGAAAAGCUCGCGCUUUCACCCGCGUUGUAAUUUGCAGAGGAUGCUUCGGGCGCGGCGCCGGUCUAAGUUCUUUGGAACAAGACGUCAUGGAGGGUGAGAAUCCCGUAUGUGACUGGUAGCCUGUGUUCAUGUGAAGCUCCUUCGACGAGUCGAGUUGUUUGGGAAUGCAGCUCUAAAUGGGUGGUGAACUUCAUCUAAAGCUAAAUACUGGCCAAAGACCGAUAGCGCACAAGUAGAGUGAUCGAAAGAUGAAAAGCACUUUGGAAAGAGAGUUAAACAGUACGUGAAAUUGUUGAAAGGGAAGCGCUUGCAAUCAGACUUGCGCGGCGUCGAUCAGCCUGGGUUCUCCCUGGUGCACUCGGCGCCGCUCAGGCCAGCAUCAGUUUUGGCGGCUGGAUAAAGGCUCAGGGAACGUGGGUGGCUUCGGCCAUCGUUAUAGCCCUGGGUGCAAUGCAGCCUGCUGGGACUGAGGACCGCGCUUCGGCUAGGAUGCUGGCGUAAUGGUUGUAAGCGACCCGUCUUGAAACACGGACCAAGGAGUCUAACAUCUAUGCGAGUAUUUGGGUGUUAAACCCAUAUGCGUAAUGAAAGUGAACGGAGGUGAGAACCCUUAAGGGUGCAUCAUCGACCGAUCCUGAUGUCUUCGGAUGGAUUUGAGUAUGAGCAUAGCUGUUGGGACCCGAAAGAUGGUGAACUAUGCCUGAAUAGGGUGAAGCCAGAGGAAACUCUGGUGGAGGCUCGCAGCGGUUCUGACGUGCAAAUCGAUCGUCAAAUUUGGGUAUAGGGGCGAAAGACUAAUCGAACCAUUGAAACCUAGCUCCUAGGUGGUUGAGAGGCCCCCCCGCGGGGGGGCCUAGUCGCUGCGGCGGCUACACUGCAAAACUGCGGGGACGGCUCGACAGCUCCAGGCUACCACAGCGCGCUCGAAAGGGCGCGCCACGGUCACAAGGCCUGCGCGGCUGAGCUCAUCCGCAACCAGCGCCUACCGCUGCCCCUACCCGGGGGUGGCCACGGCGCGGGCUCAUCGACUAGAUGGCAGUGGGUGUCAGAAGCUUAAGGGAUAGUCAGGCUGCGGCAGCGAUGCCGCCAGAGCCUGGCCCUUGCCGU
This 1119-nucleotide ribosomal RNA is filed under the name Coccomyces shennongjiaensis. RNAcentral's name for it is "Coccomyces sp. CLH-2019c partial large subunit ribosomal RNA". It matches the Rfam family "Eukaryotic large subunit ribosomal RNA", at positions 102 to 1445 of the family's 3401-position model. The record is from RNAcentral. Lineage: Eukaryota; Fungi; Ascomycota; Leotiomycetes; Rhytismatales; Rhytismataceae.